UACAUAAGUAACCUGCCCUAGACAGGGGGAUAACUAUUGGAAACGAUAGCUAAGACCGCAUAGGUACGGACACUGCAUGGUGACCGUAUUAAAAGUGCCUCAAAGCACUGGUAGAGGAUGGACUUAUGGCGCAUUAGCUGGUUGGCGGGGUAACGGCCCACCAAGGCGACGAUGCGUAGCCGACCUGAGAGGGUGACCGGCCACACUGGGACUGAGACACGGCCCAG
RNAcentral lists this ribosomal RNA (227 nucleotides) under uncultured bacterium. Its description in RNAcentral is "partial 16S ribosomal RNA". It matches the Rfam family "Bacterial small subunit ribosomal RNA", at positions 114 to 334 of the family's 1533-position model. The record is from RNAcentral.